UGGGGAAUUUUGCACAAUGGGCGAAAGCCUGAUGCAGCGACGCCGCGUGGAGGAUGAAGGUCUUCGAAUUGUAAACUCCUUUUGUAGGGGAAGAUAAUGACGGUACCCUAUGAAUAAGCCACGGCUAACUCUGUGCCAGCAGCCGCGGUAAGACAGAGGUGGCAAGCGUUGUUCGGAAUUACUGGGCUUAAAGGGCGCGUAGGUGGUGAUAUAAGUCCGGGGUGGAAGGCUGAGGCUCAACCUUGGAAUUGCCCUGGAAACUGUAUCACUUGAGUCAGCGAGGGGAUGGCGGAAUUCCUGGUGUAGCGGUGAAAUGCGUAGAUAUCAGGAGGAAGGCCGGUGGCGAAGGCGGCCAUCUGGCGCUGAACUGACACUGAGGCGCGAAAGCGUGGGGAGCAAACAGGAUUAGAUACCCUGGUAGUCCACGCCCUAAACGGUGGGCACUAGGUGUAGGGCUCGUAAGGGUUCUGUGCCGAAGGGAAACCAUUAAGUGCCCCGCCUGGGGAGUACGGCCGCAAGGUUG
RNAcentral lists this ribosomal RNA (523 nucleotides) under uncultured bacterium. RNAcentral's name for it is "bacterial SSU rRNA". It matches the Rfam family "Bacterial small subunit ribosomal RNA", at positions 355 to 896 of the family's 1533-position model. The record is from RNAcentral.